GGGAGUCGCCACAAUGCCAGAGCGCAGACAGUCCUGUCGCCCUCCCGGCGAGAGCCCAGUGGCUCCGACACCCGGUGCCACUUCGCCGACCCUUCGCUGUCCCGCGGUCUGUGCCCCAAGCCUGUGCCGCAGCCGCCGCCAGCUAACUGUGCUCGGGAGCCGAGCCGGGCAACAAGGCUUCCUCCAGAGCCGCAGCGCUCCCAGUGACAGUUUUUUUGUAGCUGGUCCCCCCCAAAUCGCCGGUCCCCGCUCUGUUCGCCCCUACAGACACUUGAGCGUUGUCCUCCUUUGAGCGCUUUUC
This is a long non-coding RNA of Enhydra lutris kenyoni (northern sea otter), 301 nucleotides long. RefSeq lists it as uncharacterized. Lineage: Eukaryota; Metazoa; Chordata; Mammalia; Carnivora; Mustelidae. The record is from RefSeq and is a predicted model, not a curated record. The transcript has a single exon.